GCCUCCCUUCCGAGGAGGCGGUGCUGGGGCGGGCGCAGGACUGCAGGCUGGGGCUCCGCUCCCCCGCGGGAGCCCGCGCGUGGUUCCCAGCGAAGUCCCCGCGCGGCUGGGCCCAGCGUGAGUAUUCUCCGCCCGCUGUCCUCCCCCUGGAGGCGGCAGCGCCCGUUUAUUUGAGCCAUGUGAAGAUGUGCUUGCUUCGCCUUCCAUCAUGACUGAAGUUUCCUGAGGCCUCCCCAGCUAUGCUCCCUAUACAGCCUGCAGAACGGUCGGCUGCCUCCAAUCCUGAGGUCAUCACUCAUCAAGAGGGGAUAAUCCCAGGGACAGCAGGAUCUGCUUCGUUACUUGGAUUUAGGAGCCAGAAACCCAUCAGGCAACUAAACAGUAACAAUGACCCACCAUUAAACACACUGAGAGAAGAGCAUGAUGAAGAGUUUGUACAAGAAGAAGCCAGGAGCACUUGCUGACAAUGCUUACAGAGACGCAGGCUUCUAUGAGCUCUGCCUGUUGAACUGCAGUAAAAAUAGAUCUCCUUCCCCAGAGAGGCUUGGAUGUGGGCACAAUAUCAGUUCAGACGAUGGUCAAUGCAUGUACUUAAUAGAGUGAAAAGACUUUGGACUGUGAAGUCAGAUUACCUGGGUCUGAAUUGUUAUUCUUCUACUUCUUUGUAGUAUGCUUUCACCACAUUAAAAAUUGUCUGAGCCUCAAU
RNAcentral lists this long non-coding RNA (706 nucleotides) under Pan troglodytes (chimpanzee). Its description in RNAcentral is "lincRNA". The record is from RNAcentral. Lineage: Eukaryota; Metazoa; Chordata; Mammalia; Primates; Hominidae.